UUCCAAGAAAUGUUUCUGGUUUCUGGAAAGAAUGGAAAAUAAUUCCAGAGCUUUAAAGACUGUGGGUCUGGACAAUACUCAGAAUCUAGGCUGAAGAAUCUGCAGCUCCCUGAAGAUUUUCCACAAGGUGAUGCCUGCCUGGAGUAGAUACAGUUCUGCACAUCCUGCAGCUUUGACAGUGAUGAAGUCACUUGUGUAUACACUGCUCAGGGAUUGUGAAUUUACAAGCUAUCCAGAGCCUGUUGGCCGGCUGUGAGCAGCUUUGUCGGUAACCAGCAGUUGGCUGGUAGUGUCCUGAGCAAGAAGGGACCUUGAAUUGCUCACUGCCGGCAGCAGCAAAACCUGGGAAGCUGGCAACCCAGACAAAACCUGUUGCUCAGGACCGGUUUGUGCCUUCAACCCGCGGCUGGGACUCUUGGCCAAGAGCAGGCGGUUGUGAUGGCGAUGUUCUCUUACCCUCAAAGUCCCCCGACCCCUCUCCAGGUGAACUCUGGUAAACUCAGUUGAAUUUCUUUAGGAAGGUUUCUGGGAAGAGAGAAAUCUCAAAUAUAAUCAUAAGGAAAUGUCUAAUUCCAAAAGCUCCUGAAGUCUUAC
This 594-nucleotide long non-coding RNA is filed under the name Cricetulus griseus (Chinese hamster). RNAcentral's name for it is "lncRNA (ENSCGRG00015010019.2)". The record is from RNAcentral. Lineage: Eukaryota; Metazoa; Chordata; Mammalia; Rodentia; Cricetidae.